Molecule: long non-coding RNA, 693 nt
Filed under: Populus tremula
Lineage: Eukaryota; Viridiplantae; Streptophyta; Magnoliopsida; Malpighiales; Salicaceae
Description: long non-coding RNA (PTRE_LNC001769)
Source: RNAcentral
GAGCAGCACCACAACAACGAUUACUUCUGCAUCUUCUCUGUUCAAUGGCAGCCGCCAUAGCUAGUCUUCACACCGAUAGUUGCAGCAGCAGCAGCACCAUCAGCAUUCCAUGAUAACUUGUGCAUCUUCUUUGUCUGAUGGAAGCCACAGUGCAGCUGAAGUUUUCAUUAGUGUCCAGCAGCAACUUCAUCACCUCUGCUGCAGCCUUAAGUAGCCGCAUCUCCUCUAUUACAGCCGUGAGCAGCCAUAAACUCAACUGUGACCAGUAGUAGGAGAGUUAUAAGCCUCAGCAGCCUUGCUUCCUUAUUUUCUCUCCCUUGAAACAUCUGCAGUAGCAGACAUCUCGAGCCAGAGGCAGCGACAGCUCCAGUGACAUCUACAGCUUCUUUUCUGGUCAUGGAAGCCACAACAACCAAGCAACAAUCUCUUCCUCUCCUCUGGACCAGCACCGUGAGCACAACCUAUAAACGGUGAUAUUUUCUUCCACAGCUUCCAGCCUCUCUUCUCAGUCCAGUAGCAGCCGCAAGAUCUUCAUCCUCCCAAUCUAGCAAACAGAAAACUGUCCUCUUACUCCAGAUCAACAUUCAGCAACGGACAACUACUUCACCUUCAUAGCCCUGCCCCCGUGACAUCAUAGAACCAACAGCACCUGAAAGCAAAGGAAGUUAAUUUAUACGUUAGGUAGUCAAUCAG